Molecule: long non-coding RNA, 451 nt
Filed under: Populus trichocarpa (black cottonwood)
Lineage: Eukaryota; Viridiplantae; Streptophyta; Magnoliopsida; Malpighiales; Salicaceae
Description: long non-coding RNA (PTRI_LNC004489)
Source: RNAcentral
GGGGGAGGAACAGAGAAAGAAAGGAGAGAAGAGAGGGGAGGAAGAAGGAGAACAAAACAAAAAAACAGAGGAGAGAGAGAGGAAGAACCGAAAGUAGAGAGAAACCGAGAGGAGAGAAAAACAUAAAAAAUAACAGAGGAAAGAAACACAGACUGAGAGAAGAGAGGGAGGUGAAGAAAAAGAGAAGAUCGAAACAUAGAAAAAAAAAGGAAACGGACGUCCGGAACAGCUGCAGCGCCACCUGGAACCGCCGUCCGUGGGCUACGCCUCCGCCACAGCGCCGCCAGAAACGCAGCAAGCCACCGCCUCCUCCGCGCCAGGUAACCCUUCUCCCUCCCCUAUUCUGGCGUUUCUUUAUUUCCUUCUCUGCAUGCAGAACGAAUAGCGUUCUGCAUGCAGGGGCGGGGGGAAAUUAAUUCCCCUCGCCCGUUUUGUUGCUGGGUCAGGCGGG